CCCUUAGAUGUUCUGGGCUGCACGCGCGCUACACUGAUACUUUCAGCGAGUCCACCACCUUGCCUGGGAGGGUGGGGUAACCUCUGGAAAGUGCAUCGUGAUGGGGAUCGAUUAUUGUAAUUAUUAAUCUUCAACGAGGAAUUCCUAGUAAGCAUGUGUCAUCAGCCCGUGCUGAUUACGUCCCUGCCCUUUGUACACACCGCCCGUCGCACCUACCGAUUGAAUGGUCCGGUGAAGCCUCGGGAUUGUGAUGAGUCUCCUUUAUUGGGGGUUCGUCGUGAGAACUUGUCUAAACCUUAUCAUUUAGAGGAAGGUGAAGUCGUAACA
Molecule: ribosomal RNA, 327 nt
Filed under: uncultured eukaryote
Lineage: Eukaryota
Description: partial 18S ribosomal RNA
Rfam family: Eukaryotic small subunit ribosomal RNA
Source: RNAcentral